GAUGAACGCUGGCGGCGUGCCUAAUACAUGCAAGUCGAGCGAACGGACGAGAAGCUUGCUUCUCUGAUGUUAGCGGCGGACGGGUGAGUAACACGUGGAUAACCUACCUAUAAGACUGGGAUAACUUCGGUAAACCGGAGCUAAUACCGGAUAAUAUUUUGAACCGCAUGGUUCAAAAUUGAAAGACGGUCUUGCUGUCACUUAUAGAUGGAUCCGCGCUGCAUUAGCUAGUUGGUAAGGUAACGGCUUACCAAGGCAACGAUGCAUAGCCGACCUGAGAGAGUGAUCGGCCACACUGGAACUGAGACACGGUCCAGACUCCUACGGGAGGCAGCAGUAGGGAAUCUUCCGCAAUGGGCGAAAGCCUGACGGAGCAACGCCGCGUGAGUGAUGAAGGUCUUCGGAUCGUAAAACUCUGUUAUUAGGGAAGAACAUAUGUGUAAGUAACUGUGCACAUCUUGACGGUACCUAAUCAGAAAGUCACGGCUAACUACGUG
This 497-nucleotide ribosomal RNA is filed under the name uncultured bacterium. RNAcentral's name for it is "partial 16S ribosomal RNA". It matches the Rfam family "Bacterial small subunit ribosomal RNA", at positions 28 to 507 of the family's 1533-position model. The record is from RNAcentral.